This 729-nucleotide ribosomal RNA is filed under the name uncultured prokaryote. RNAcentral describes it as "partial 16S ribosomal RNA". It matches the Rfam family "Bacterial small subunit ribosomal RNA", at positions 24 to 769 of the family's 1533-position model. The record is from RNAcentral.
UCAGGAUGAACGCUGACAGAAUGCUUAACACAUGCAAGUCGAUUCNAUUUACCUUCGGGUAUUGAGGAUGGCGGACGGGUGAGUAACGCGUAAGGAACUUGCCUCUUGGUCUGGGACAACUGUUGGAAACGACAGCUAAUACCGGAUAUUAUGAGAUUCUCGCAUGGGAAACUUAUGAAAGCUAUAUGCGCCAAGAGAGAGCCUUGCGUUCCAUUAGCUAGUUGGUGGGGUAACGGCCCACCAAGGCGACGAUGGAUAGCCGGCCUGAGAGGGUGAACGGCCACAAGGGGACUGAGACACGGCCCUUNNUNNNUNNNNNNNGCAGCAGUGGGGAAUAUUGGACAAUGGGCCACAAGCCUGAUCCAGCAAUUCUGUGUGCACGAUGAAGGUCUUCGGAUUGUAAAGUGCUUUCAGUUGGGAAGAAGAAAGUGACGGUACCAACAGAAGAAGCGACGGCUAAAUACGUGCCAGCAGCCGCGGUAAUACGUAUGUCGCAAGCGUUAUCCGGAUUUAUUGGGCGUAAAGCGCGUCUAGGCGGAAAAAUAAGUCUGAUGUUAAAAUGCGGGGCUCAACUCCGUAUUGCGUUGGAAACUGUUUUUCUAGAGUACUGNAGAGGUGGGCGGAACUACAAGUGUAGAGGUGAAAUUCGUAGAUAUUUGUAGNAAUGCCGAUGGANAAGUCAGCUCACUGGACAGAUACUGACGCUGAAGCGCGAAAGCGUGGGGNAGC